Molecule: small nucleolar RNA, 112 nt
Organism: Capra hircus (goat)
Lineage: Eukaryota; Metazoa; Chordata; Mammalia; Artiodactyla; Bovidae
Source: Ensembl
GGGUCAUUUCAAAGAGGGUUUGUGGGCAUAUGGAAACAGCUAUGACUGGAGACUACAGCUCCCUGCAGGACAUCUCCACAAAAUAGUGCUGUUUUCCUGAAGGGAGGAAAGG